AUGGCCAAUUACAACCCUAGGCUCCAAAACAGGAGACCCUGUGGACCGGUACCUGAUAGGUAUCAGGUCACCUGGAUGGAGUGCAAUGCACUUCACCAGGAAAUCGGGAGGCUUAAUUACCUGUUCACUAAAGAAAGAAACUGGAGGAUCCACCUUGGCGAAGAGUUGGAGGACACAAGAAAACAACUGACCAAACAGAAGACCCUGAAAGAAAUGUACAUCAACAGGGAAAAAGAAACACGUAAAGAGCUGGAGAGGCUGCAGAAAUACAGCGAUGCAGAAGCCCUCAGCGCCUCAAACAUCGCCACCCAAGUGAGAAAUAAUAUCAAGAGAAAGGAGAAGAAACUGCUUCAGCAAGAUUAUGAGGAGCUGCAAGUGGCACAUAUCAUCAGCCAAGAGAAGUUUGAAGCUGAGCUCCAGGUGGAGAAGGAGAAGAACAAGGUUCUCCAAGAAGAACUGGAGAGGAUCAGAGCUUCAUACCAUGAGGUCAAACUGAGGUAUGAAACUGAUGUUCUCACAGCCAGGCAGCAGGCUGACAACCUUCAGCGGGAGCUUGAGGAGGCACACAAGUCCCAUGCUGACAGGCAGACACAGGACCUGCACCUGAUCAACACCUUGAAGGCUGAGCAGGACACCCUUCGUCUAAAGAUGGCAGAGGAGAUCGAAACCCUCCAGGAAAACCACAGUCAGAAAGUGUGGCACUUUCAGAGAAAGGUGGUGCAGCUGAAAACUCGACUCCACCUUCAAACAUCACUCAACCAGAAACUCUUUAAUGAGCUGAAGAAGGCUGAGGAGAAUGAGGAGGCUGAGGACAAGCCUGAGAAGGCUGACGAGAAGCCUGAGAAGGCUGACGAGAAGCCUGAGAAGGCUGACGAGAAGCCUGAGAAGGCUGAGGACAAGCCUGAGAAGGCUGAGGACAAGCCUGAGAAGGCUGACCAGAAGCCUGAGAAGGCUGACCAGAAGCCUGAGAAGGCUGAGGAGGAGGAGGCUGAGGAGAAGCCUGAGAAGGCUGAGGAGGAGGAGGCUGAGGAGAAGCCUGAGGAGGAGGAGGAGGAGGCUGAGGAGAAGCCU
This 1071-nucleotide long non-coding RNA is filed under the name Mastacembelus armatus (zig-zag eel). RNAcentral describes it as "lncRNA (ENSMAMG00000025207.1)". Lineage: Eukaryota; Metazoa; Chordata; Actinopteri; Synbranchiformes; Mastacembelidae. The record is from RNAcentral.